Brassica rapa (field mustard) is the source of this 6191-nucleotide long non-coding RNA. RefSeq lists it as uncharacterized. NCBI's taxonomy places the organism in Eukaryota, Viridiplantae, Streptophyta, Magnoliopsida, Brassicales, Brassicaceae. The record is from RefSeq and is a predicted model, not a curated record.
CCCCAACCGCCCCCCCUUUGUGUGUGUUUUCGUUCCAUAUUUUUGGGAGAUUUGGAAAAAUAGGUAAAAAAAUAUGACAUUUUGUCCCUACACACUGUGUUAUUUUCUUUUAAAAUAACCUUAAACUGACGUAAAUAAAUGAAUAAUAAAAUUAUUUAAAAUAAAAAAAAUUAUUUUUAAAAAGUUGAAAAAUAUAAACCAGAAAUACUGAUAUACUAGGUGAUAUCCCGUGCUCAUGCACGGAUUCAAACAUUUACAAGUUAAUAAAAUCAUUAUAAUUGAUUAACUUUUUAUUUCUAAUUAUCGAUACGUUUAAAUUAUUUUUAGUUUGUAUAUCAGAAAGACAAAUAUAACACUAUUUUAAACUACAUUAUUACGUUAUCUUAAUUAAAUAUAUAAUUUUUGAUAUGAUAAUUUGGAUUGGUUAAGUUAUUUUUGGUAUGUUGAGUUGUAUAACUUUUCAGUUGAAUUUUAAUUAUACUAAAUCAGAUUAUAUAAUUUAAUUUAGUUUCUAAGAUUUGUAAAUAUGUAUUUUUAAAUUGAUAUAUUUUGUUUUGGCUUAAAUUUAUGAGAAAAUUUGUAAAUGUUGAUCAGAUAUUGUAUAAGUGAAUCAAAUUUGAAAUCUUUUAAAAACAAUUGGAUCAUUAGAGUUUUAGAACGUAAUAGUAACCUAACUAAUUUUAUCAAAUACCACAUUCAUGAUGAAAUUGAAUUUGAGAUAAUUAAUUGUUUAUUUUUAUAGAUAUUGAAACAUUCACAUAGUAUGAGGCUUGAGAAUCUGUAAUUAUGAAAAGAAAAAUUGUAUGAAAUUGUGUGAGAAUUUGUUCAAAAUAAGAGAUUGAAUAAUUAUCCAAAAAGUAAUAUUAUUUUAGAAAAUUUAUAAUUAAGAAAAAAUAAUUUUCUUUAGUGUAUUAAAAGUAAAUACUGAUUUGGUAACUAAAUUGACUUUUUUUUAUGAAAAAGAGUUAUUAUGUUUAAAAUGAAAAAUAUUUAACUAACAUUAUUAACAAUCGUAGAAAAACUUUAUUAAACAAAAAGUAUCAAGAAAGUUUUAUGAAAGUGAGAUUUAUAUAAAUGGAAACUACUUUUUUAAAAAUCACAUGUUUUAAAUAUCAAAAAUCACUAUAUCACUAUAUUUUUGUUUUAAGAUAUUAUUUCUGAUACUAAAUUCCUUUAUGAUAUUGAUAUGAUUUUAUAAAAAGAAAUAUUACGAAAAAAGAAAAUAUAAAUAGAUAUAUUAGUAAUGUAAAUUAGUAAAUAGUUUAUGAAAUUAGGAUUUAUAUAAAAGGAAAUUUCUUAUUGUCAAAUUACAUGUUUUAAAUAUAAUAAACUGCUAUGUUUUUUACUUUUAAGAUAUUUCCUUUUUGAUACUAAAUUUAUUUAUGAUAUUGAUAUGACUAUAUAUAUGUACAUACAUAUAUAUUAAAAACGAAAAUAAAAAUAGUUUAUAAAUAUUUUUUUAAAAUAUAGAUAUUUUCCAUUUUUACAUUAGAAAAAAAUUACUAAUAAAAACUAAAAUAUAAAUUUUGAUACUGACAAUUACAAAAUAAUAUUAAUUUAUUAAGGUUAACAAUGUAAUAAACCAUCAUGAGAAUUAACGUGAGCGCGAUACAUAGGAAAAUGACUUCUCAAUUAUUUUUAUAGAGAUAUCAAGACGUUUAGGAACUCCAUUAAGUUUGGGGAUGUAUGUGUUGAAAUCGUGGUUUAAUUUCUAAUUGGAUUUUAUUCAGGUUAAAUUUCAGUAUAUAAUUGGUAACAUAUUGGUAUUAAACGACAUUUAUGUGUAAUAUGGAGUCGAACUUUUAUCCCACGACGGUAAAAGUUUAGAACUUUAAAAUGUGUUUAAAUAAAGAGUUAAAUGGUAACAUGAUAUACACAGACAGUUGAAGAGCGGUUGAAGGUGAUUGGUGUAAAAAUAUUCUAAAACGAACCCCCAAGAUUUUUUGAAUGUCCAACUCUAGUUGUUGGUUAUCGUUUUAAUUUGAUUUGAAUGUCCAACUCUAGUUGUUGGUUAUCGUUUUAAUUUGAUUUCAUCGAUUUACAUCAAACUUUAAAUCCUAUUUAUGUUUAGGUCUAAUUCUAAUUUGAAUUCUAACUGCAACUAGUUUUGUGUUCUAUAAAUUUUAUUGAUAUCAAAGUUUCACAGAAUUAUUAUUUACAAUACUAUGAAAGACUGCAGCAACUAUGAUUAUGAGAUUCAAAGUAUUAUUUCUUCUUAUUAAUUUUGAAUAAUUUUUCAUCUUAAAGUUUUGGUGGAGGACCAGGAGGAGGCUUAUAUUCUUUACAAGGAAAGUCGCAAAUACAAGCACCACCGUCAUAGCGGUAAUCACAGUGAGCCUCUGCACCUUUUCCAUAAGCACUGCAUUUGACUGCACAUAUGCGGCAAUCGCCAAGACUUGCCUGACAUCCCAUACUAUCAUCAACUAUAAUAAAUAAAACAACAUUUUAUGUUUAAAUAAUUAAAAACCUAAGAUUUAGGAGAUAUCAACACAGUAAAAUACAAUAUAUAUAUAAGGCGAGCAUCUUUGAAUAUUGCUUUUUCUCAACAAACAAAAAAGAAUCUUUGAAUAUUGCUAUGAGAAAAGGGUGAAUUGGUGGAAUCACCAUUAUGGAAAAAAAAGAGCAAAUAACCAAAACAAAAGAUUGUCAGAGGUGAGAAGAUAAGUAUGCAUAAGUGUGAACGUUUCUCUUUUUCACAGUGCAUCAGUAUGUGAUAAAAGUAGCAAGGUCCACAGUAACAGAUGUAAAGUGAAGUCUCAUAUGUUCCAGAUGUGUAUGAUAUUCUAUUUGCAUAGUCCGUAAUAGUAUGACAUGCCAACAACAUUACUUAAAUUCUAGGGUUCACACAUUAUGGUGUACAAUAUAGAAUAAAUGGAAUGACAAAAUAUUAACUACAUCAUGAAGAACUUGAUUGCAGAAACAUUCACAUUGCUAAAAUCUAAACUCAUAUUUGGAGAGUUAUUAGGCUGGACAAAGAAUGAAAAUUAUACUAUACUAUAUGUGUUUGACAAAAUAGUAUAGCCUAAUUCAACCGUUUUACUAACUUAAUUUUCUUAUUUACUGCACUAGUCAACCCAAACAAAAUGAAAAUUUUCAACUCAUAAAACGCAAUAAAGACUAAAACAUAGUAUAAUCUCUAGUUACAAAUUGCUCAAGUUAACUCAAGCAAAAUAAAUAAAAAGACGGGAGAGAGAGAGAGAGAGAGAGAGAGAGAGAGAGAGAGAGAGAGAGAGAGAGAGAGAGAGAGAGAGAGAGAGAGAGAGAGAGAGAGAGAGAGAGAGAGAGAUGAAAUGUUACAUUUCUUUUCUAUGUUUUCUAAAUAGAAUAGCAUACAAUUGUAUAUUAUUUCAUUUGAAGAUGAAACUAAAGAUAUGAGAUAAAGAGAGAGAGGGAGCAAGAGAUAAAGAGAGAGAUAGGGGUAAACAUAAGAAAGAAAGAAAUAGAUGGGAUAAAGAGAGUGAAAGAAAGAAAUUUAGUAAAGAGAGAGCAAAAAAGAUGUAGAGAGAGAGAGAGAGUUGUAAUGUUGCAUUUUUAUUCUAUGAUUUCUAAAUAGAAUGAAAUACUAUAUAAUAUUGUCUCAUUAUGAACAAGGGAAGAGAAAAAGAGAGGGAGGGAAAGAGGAAGAAAAAAAUGAGAGAAAAAGAGAGAGAUUGUAAAUAUGUGCUAUCAUAUACAUAUAAUAUAGAAUAGAAAGAUAUAUUUGUCUAAAUAACAAUUUAUAUGUUUUGAAAGAAAUUUAUAUCCGUUUGAGAAAAUUUAAAAUACAAUAUAUGUAAAAAAAUGUAUGAUUUAUUAUGAUAUUAUUAUUGGUUAAGUUGUAUUAAAAAAUAAAAUAUAGAUCAAAUAAAAUGAGAGAAAAAAGAAAGAAAAGAGAAAAAAGAAAGAAAAAAGAAUCAAAGGCUGAAAUUGUUUAAGGGUAGAUAUAAUAAUAUUAUAUAAACGUGUAUUGUAUAUUCUAACCAUAGAGUUCAUAUGGUUAUUUGUUGAAUUUUUUUUUGAUGGUUAUACAUGCUAAUUUCCCCUGAGAAAACUAUAAAAGAUUAUGUAUAUCUUUUCUUAAGAGAUUAUGUAUAUAAAAAAACUAGAUUAUGUAUAUAAACAAACUGACGUUGAAUACACUUUUUGAGGAAAAGUUAAUAGAAACGUAUACCUAAAGCAAACAUAACAAGGAAGACGAUGAGGAGAACAACUGAAAAUUUUGCUUGAGCCAUAUUUAUCUAUUCGUAAUCCAGAUUAAGAUGCUUUUAUUGAAUAUAUUGAAAGACUGUAAGUUUUGGGAGACAGUAAAGAGAGAUUUAUAGGAUGAUGAGGCGACCAUAAUUAUUACUAUAUUUUUGAAAAAUUGACUGUAAUUACGAUAAUAAUAUAUAAAUAUGGAAUAUUAAUUAUGUCAUAUGAGUAAAAAAGAUUCUUUUUCAACAAUUAUUUUAAAUUUUAACAUAUUUACAUUUGACUAGUUUAUCACCAAUUUAAUUUCUCGUUGACCAUAGAUCUACUUAACAAUAACAUAUUAUUUUUACCUUUUAAAAUUUUUAUUCUAUUUGACCGAAGAAUUACUUAAUUUAAUUAUUAUUUAUUUAAUUUUCACAGAGUACUAGUGUUUAGCAGAUUAUUUUCUUUUAACUAUGUACUAGAGCUUGAUUUGCGUCGCUAAUGUUUGUUUUAACUUAUAUAUAUAUAUAUAUAUAUAUAUUGAUAUUAUUUAAAAUAUUUAAUGAUUAAUAUGUUUUUAAUAUGUUUCUUUAAAAUAUUUAAUGAUUAAGAUGUUUUUAAUAUGUUUCAUAUAUUUAAAUUUUUAUAUGACCUUUAAAGAGAAAAUAAAUAUCUUACAUACAAUAAUUUAAUUUAUUAUUAUAAAUUAUAUAAAUCUACUAUAUAUUUAUUUAAUUAUAUUUGUAUUUGAUUAUUAUAAAAAUGAAUAAAUGUAUAAAAGAAGACAUGAACAUUAUUUUGUAUUUUUUGUUAUUAUUGUUAUGUGUAUGAUCAAAAUAGACUAUUUAAAAAACAUAUAACAUAAUUUUAAUAUGUUAGAUUUGAAGUUUGAUUAUUAGAACAUAAUGUUAUACAUAUAAAUAUAUAUAUAUAUAUAUAUAUAUUGAAAUUAAGCUUUGCAUAAAUAUACAAUAUAAUAUUCCGGUCUAAUAACUUUUAUACAAUCAUCAUAAAGUAAAAUUUCUGUAUAAAUUUUUGGUAAACCAAUUGAAAUAAAUUAAUAACUCACAUUUCACAAUAAAAAGAAAAUUUGAGAUAUAUAUUAAUAAAAAUAAACUAAUAUAAUUACAUUUUAACUUUUUAUAUUAGCUUAUAUAUCAUAUAUAUAUUUAGUAAAAUUAAUGUAAAUGUACAUUAAAAAUAAAAAAUAAGUAUAUAUUAAUCAACUUUUUUGUUGAUGGUUAAAUUUUUAAAUUUUUAAAAUUUUAUUAGCAUCUAUUGAGAGAGAGUGUGAUGUGAUGACCAGAUCCAGUACAUUUUAACUUUUUACAUUAGCUUAUAUAUCAUAUAUAUAUUUAGUAAAAUAACGAUAAUUUGGUUAAUAACACAUGAGGCUAAAGUUAGUUUAUGAUAAUGCUUCUCAGAUAAUAAAAAAGGAGAUGUAUAUUUGGUUAUCUCUAGUUGGUAUAUAAAUAAUCUAAAAUAAACUCUCAAAGAUUUUUUAAAUGUCCCACUCUAGUCGUUGGAGUACAAAUUUUAAUCGUUUUAAUUUGAUUUCAUCAAUUUGCAUCAAACUUUAAAUUCUAUUUAUGUUUCGCUCAAAUUUUAAUUUAAAAAAUCUAACUGCAACUAAUUUUGUGUUCUAUAAAUUUUAUUGAUAUCAAAGGUUCACAGAAUUAUUAUUUAAUACUAUGAAAGACUGCAGCAUUUAUGAUUAUGAUAUUCAAAGUAUUAUUUUAUCUUUUUAAUUUUAAAUAUUUUUUUUAUUUUAAAGUUUAGGUGGCGGUUUACAAGGAUAGUCGCAAACACAAAUACCACCGAUACAGUGAGCCUCUGCAUGUCUUCCGUAAUAACUGCAUUUUAUUCCGCAUAUACGGCAAUCACCAAGACUCGCCUCACAUCCCAUAUUAUCCUCCACUACAAUAAAUAAAACAACAUUUUAUGUUUAAAUAAUGAAAAACUAAGAUUUAGGAGAUAUCAACACUGUAAAAUUACAAUAUAUAUAUAUAUAUAUAUAUACCAAUGAAUAAUGCCAAAAC